GAGGACCGGUUCAGUAAUGUUGUCUGGUGAUGUCAGCCUGGACAGGAGGUAUUCAGGAGAGGACCGGUUCAGUAAUGUUGUCUGGUGAUGUCAGCCUGGACAGGAGGUAUUCAGGAGAGGACCGGUUCAGUAAUGUUGUCUGGUGAUGUCAGCCUGGACAACAGGUAUUCAGGAGAGGACCGGUUCAGUAAUGUUGUCUGGUGAUGUCAGCCUGGACAGGAGGUAUUCAGGAGAGGACCGGUUCAGUAAUGUUGUCUGGUGAUGUCAGCCUGGACAACAGGUAUUCAGGAGAGGACCGGUUCAGUAAUGUUGUCUGGUGAUGUCAGCCUGGACAACAGGUAUUCAGGAGAGGACCGGUUCAGUAAUGUUGUCUGGUGAUGUCAGCCUGGACAGGAGGUAUUCAGGAGAGGACCGGUUCAGUAAUGUUGUCUGGUGAUGUCAGCCUGGACAGGAGGUAUUCAGGAGAGGACCGGUUCAGUAAUGUUGUCUGGUGAUGUCAGCCUGGACAGGAGGUAUUCAGGAGAGGACCGGUUCAGUAAUGUUGUCUGGUGAUGUCAGCCUGGACAGGAGGUAUUCAGGAGAGGACCGGUUCAGUAAUGUUGUCUGGUGAUGUCAGCCUGGACAGGAGGUAUUCAGGAGAGGACCGGUUCAGUAAUGUUGUCUGGUGAUGUCAGCCUGGACAGGAGGUAUUCAGGAGAGGACCGGUUCAGUAAUGUUGUCUGGUGAUGUCAGCCUGGACAGGAGGUAUUCAGGAGAGGACCGGUUCAGUAAUGUUGUCUGGUGAUGUCAGCCUGGACAGGAGGUAUUCAGGAGAGGACCGGUUCAGUAAUGUUGUCUGGUGAUGUCAGCCUGGACAGGAGGUAUUCAGGAGAGGACCGGUUCAGUAAUGUUGUCUGGUGAUGUCAGCCUGGACAGGAGGUAUUCAGGAGAGGACCGGUUCAGUAAUGUUGUCUGGUGAUGUCAGCCUGGACAGGAGGUAUUCAGGAGAGGACCGGUUCAGUAAUGUUGUCUGGUGAUGUCAGCCUGGACAGGAGGUAUUCAGGAGAGGACCGGUUCAGUAAUGUUGUCUGGUGAUGUCAGCCUGGACAGGAGGUAUUCAGGAGAGGACCGGUUCAGUAAUGUUGUCUGGUGAUGUCAGCCUGGACAUCAGGUAUUCAGGAGAGGACCGGUUCAGUAAUGUUGUCUGGUGAUGUCAGCCUGGACAGGAGGUAUUCAGGAGAGGACCGGUUCAGUAAUGUUGUCUGGUGAUGUCAGCCUGGACAACAGGUAUUCAGGAGAGGACCGGUUCAGUAAUGUUGUCUGGUGAUGUCAGCCUGGACAACAGGUAUUCAGGAGAGGACCGGUUCAGUAAUGUUGUCUGGUGAUGUCAGCCUGGACAGGAGGUAUUCAGGAGAGGACCGGUUCAGUAAUGUUGUCUGGUGAUGUCAGCCUGGACAGGAGGUAUUCAGGAGAGGACCGGUUCAGUAAUGUUGUCUGGUGAUGUCAGCCUGGACAACAGGUAUUCAGGAGAGGACCGGUUCAGUAAUGUUGUCUGGUGAUGUCAGCCUGGACAACAGGUAUUCAGGAGAGGACCGGUUCAGUAAUGUUGUCUGGUGAUGUCAGCCUGGACAGGAGGUAUUCAGGAGAGGAUACUAGUCACUAGCUAGUUAAACCAAUGUCUCCAGAUACUAGUUCAGUCACUAGCUAGUUAAACCAAUGUCUCCAGAUACUAGUUCAGUCACUAGCUAGCUAAACCAAUGUCUCCAGAUACUAGUUCAGUCACUAGCUAGUUAAACCAAUGUCUCUAGAUACUAGUCCAGUCACUAGCUAGUUAAACCAAUGUCUCUAGAUACUAGUCCAGUCACUAACUAGCUAGUUAAACCAAUGUCUCCAGAUACUAGUUCAGUCACUAGCUAGUUAAACCAAUGUCUCCAGAUACUAGUUCAGUCACUAGCUAGUUAAACCAAUGUCUC
This is a long non-coding RNA of Oncorhynchus keta (chum salmon), 1952 nucleotides long. RefSeq lists it as uncharacterized. The record is from RefSeq and is a predicted model, not a curated record. NCBI's taxonomy places the organism in Eukaryota, Metazoa, Chordata, Actinopteri, Salmoniformes, Salmonidae. The transcript is spliced from 3 exons.